This 515-nucleotide ribosomal RNA is filed under the name uncultured bacterium. RNAcentral describes it as "partial 16S ribosomal RNA". It matches the Rfam family "Bacterial small subunit ribosomal RNA", at positions 28 to 523 of the family's 1533-position model. The record is from RNAcentral.
GAUGAACGCUGGCGGCGUGCCUAAUACAUGCAAGUCGAGCGAAUGGAUUAAGAGCUUGCUCUUAUGAAGUUAGCGGCGGACGGGUGAGUAACACGUGGGUAACCUGCCCAUAAGACUGGGAUAACUCCGGGAAACCGGGGCUAAUACCGGAUAACAUUUUGAACCGCAUGGUUCGAAAUUGAAAGGCGGCUUCGGCUGUCACUUAUGGAUGGACCCGCGUCGCAUUAGCUAGUUGGUGAGGUAACGGCUCACCAAGGCAACGAUGCGUAGCCGCCCUGAUAGGGUGAUCGGCCACACUGGGACUGAGACACGGCCCAGACUCCUACGGGAGGCAGCAGUAGGGAAUCUUCCGCACUGGACGAAAGUCUGACGGAGCAACGCCGCGUGAGUGAUGAAGGCUUUCGGGUCGUAAAACUCUGUUGUUAGGGAAGAACAAGUGCUAGUUGAAUAAGCUGGCACCUUGACGGUACCUAACCAGAAAGCCACGGCUAACUACGCGCCAGCCGCCGCCGUAA